UCUUCUUCUUCUCCUUCUUUUUUUCUUAUUCUCUUUAUUCUUCUUUUCUCCUUCUUCUUCUUCUUCUUAUCCCUCUUCUUCUUCUUAUUCUCCUCCUCCUUCUUCUACUUCACCUUCUUGUUCUUCUUCGCCUCCUCCUCCUUCUUCUUCUUCUCCUUCUCCUUCUUCUUCUUCUCCUUCUUCUUCUUCUUACCUAAUUAUCCUCUAAAAUGACAUAAAUCUUAGUUAGGUUAGAGAUGGCAUUAGAACCUUG
This 253-nucleotide long non-coding RNA is filed under the name Hordeum vulgare. RNAcentral's name for it is "long non-coding RNA (HVUL_LNC009218)". The record is from RNAcentral. Lineage: Eukaryota; Viridiplantae; Streptophyta; Magnoliopsida; Poales; Poaceae.